GGAGGAGGCGAGCGUUGUCCGGAAUCAUUGGGCGUAAAGAGCGCGUAGGCUGUUUUUCAAGUCAUUUGUGAAAACCUCAGGCUUAACUUGAGGACUGCAUAUGAAACUGGAAAACUUGAGUGCAGUAGGGGAAAGUGGAAUUCCUGGUGUAGCGGUGAAAUGCGCAGAUAUCAGGAAGAACACCGGUAGCGAAGGCGGCUUUCUGGGCUGCUACUGACGCUGAGGCGCGAAAGCUAGGGGGAGCAAACAGGAUUAGAUACCCUGGUAGUCCUAGCUGUAAACGAUGGACACUAGGUGUGGGGAGUUAUCGACGCUUUCCGUGCCGGAGCUAACGCAUUAAGUGUCCCCGCCCUGGGAGUACGGUCGCAAGACUA
This 374-nucleotide ribosomal RNA is filed under the name uncultured organism. Its description in RNAcentral is "partial 16S ribosomal RNA". It matches the Rfam family "Bacterial small subunit ribosomal RNA", at positions 527 to 896 of the family's 1533-position model. The record is from RNAcentral.